UGCCGGACCCGACUGCUAUCGGAUUGAGAUUUAGCCACGCGAGUCGAACGUCCCCCUGUUGCGGGGGGCGUGGCGUACGGCUCAGUAACACGUAGUCAACCUGCCCUGGAGACACGGACAACCCCGGGAAACUGGGACUAAUCCGUGAUAGGUCACCUCAUCUGGAAGGAGAGAUGGCCCAAAGGGGCGCGCGGGCUUCUUCUGCGCGUUCGCUCCAGGAUGGGACUGCGACCGAUCAGGCUGUUGGCGGGGUAAAGGCCCACCAAACCUGUAACCGGUACGGGCCUUGAGAGAGGUGGCCCGGAGAUGGACACUGAGAAAAGGGUCCAGGUCCUACGGGGCGCAGCAGGCGCGAAACCUUCGCAAUGCGCGAAAGCGUGACGAGGUUAAUCCGAGUGAAUUCCCGCUGAGGAGACCUUUUGUCGGCUGUAAAUUG
RNAcentral lists this ribosomal RNA (436 nucleotides) under uncultured archaeon. RNAcentral's name for it is "bacterial SSU rRNA". It matches the Rfam family "Archaeal small subunit ribosomal RNA", at positions 15 to 426 of the family's 1478-position model. The record is from RNAcentral.